UCUGCAGCCAAGGGUAAGACUGUUCGUCUAUUAAAGGAGAUCGUGAGCUGGGUUUAGACCGUCGUGAGACAGGUCGGUUGCUAUCUAUUGGGGGUGCUGGAGGUCUGAGGGGAAGCUGCUUUUAGUACGAGAGGAACAAAGCAGCGGCGCCUCUGGUGUACCGGUUGUCCGACAGGGCAUUGCCGGGCAGCUACGCGCUGGUGGAUAAGAGCUGAAAGCAUCUAAGCUCGAAGCCAUCCCCAAAAAGAGACUUCCUUAAGGGCAUCAUUAGAAGAAUGGUUUGAUAGGGCUGGGGUGUAAGACUCAAGGUGAUAAACCGAGAUUUUUAGCCCGCAGCUACUAACGUCCGCACCAAUCAUCUC
This 362-nucleotide ribosomal RNA is filed under the name Methanomicrobia archaeon. Its description in RNAcentral is "partial 23S ribosomal RNA". It matches the Rfam family "Archaeal large subunit ribosomal RNA", at positions 2627 to 2987 of the family's 2987-position model. The record is from RNAcentral. Lineage: Archaea; Methanobacteriati; Methanobacteriota; Methanomicrobia.